Papaver somniferum (opium poppy) is the source of this 1138-nucleotide RNA transcript. It is a transcript of the gene named MKI67 FHA domain-interacting nucleolar phosphoprotein-like, with no coding region annotated. The transcript has 9 exons. Lineage: Eukaryota; Viridiplantae; Streptophyta; Magnoliopsida; Ranunculales; Papaveraceae. The record is from RefSeq and is a predicted model, not a curated record.
AGUUCUUCUUUUUCGUUCUGUCUCUCUGCUCCGUAACUAAAAAAAAAUAAUGGGUGCCAAAGCAAAGACAGCUACCAACAAGAAAACCCUUAAAAGGGUUACUGCGUCUGCCUCUAAAUCUAAGUCAAAAUCAUCAGAUUUGGUGGUUGCUGCUCAGAAACCUGAAUCGGCUGAUUUCUUGCCAUUAGAAGGCGGACCAGCUAGAAAACUGCCAAAGAGUGGAAAACCAUUGGAUACUUCAUCUGCUGUUUUGUAUAUUGGUAGAAUUCCUCAUGGUUUCUAUGAAAAGGAAAUGGAAGAAUUUUUUAAGCAAUUUGGUUCUAUUAAGCGGUUAAGGAUUGCGAGGAAUAAGAAGACAGGAAAGUCUAAGCAUUUUGGGUUUAUCGAAUUUGAAUCUCCUGAGGUGGCAAAGAUUGUUGCAGACUGUAUGCAUAAUUAUCUGCUCUUUGAGCACUUGUUGCAAGUUCAUAUUAUUCCAACAGAGAAAGUUCAUCCUAAACUAUGGUAUGGUGUAACCCACCGAUACAAACUGUUGAACUGGACUCAAAUUGAACGCAACCACCAUAACAAGGAAAGAACAUUGGAAGAACAUAGAAAAUUGGUGGAGGGAAUCAUGAAGCGAGACAAGAAGCGAAGGUUGAAGAUAGAGGCUGCUGGUAUUGAUUACGAGUGCCCAGAAAUUGUGGGUAGUGUCCAAGCUGUUCCAAAGAAGAUCAAGUUUACCGAAGAUUAGGACUUUUACUAAUAUACCAAUCAAACCAUUCACAGUGUUGGUGGCUUGUGGCGGACAUAUACCCUGUCAGUCUCUUUCUUCCUAUCCUUGGCUCUGUUUUGCGUUGCAACCAGCCUAAUUGCUUAUCGUCAACAAGUUAUUUCUCCAUCUCCAUGUGAGCAAAUUUCCUUUCAGUCUACAACCAGGAUUCAAAACAAUGAUUCUGUUGGCAACGAGAACAUUGGUAUUAUACUUUAAAACUGGUAAUCUUCAUCAAGUUUUAGCAGUUAUAUUCAUAUCAUUCUGUAGACUUGUGAGUUUCAUUAACAAGCAACCUUUGUGUGAACCUCAAUUAUAUGGGAGUGAUUUACACUGUAGUGGCUUCUUUAGUUUAUACAUGGGGGUCGAAUAAGCAUUGCAACAAAA